Schistosoma haematobium is the source of this 78-nucleotide non-coding RNA. The record is from Rfam. NCBI's taxonomy places the organism in Eukaryota, Metazoa, Platyhelminthes, Trematoda, Strigeidida, Schistosomatidae.
AUCUUUUCGAAUGCAUGCAGAGAUUUCUUCAGACACCAACCCAUUAGGGUUGAUCAGACUUCCAAGAUAAGUGAAGUU